This 461-nucleotide ribosomal RNA is filed under the name uncultured bacterium. RNAcentral's name for it is "partial 16S ribosomal RNA". It matches the Rfam family "Bacterial small subunit ribosomal RNA", at positions 28 to 506 of the family's 1533-position model. The record is from RNAcentral.
GACGAACGCUGGCGGCGUGCUUAACACAUGCAAGUCGAGCGGAAAGGCCCUUCGGGGUACUCGAGCGGCGAACGGGUGAGUAACACGUGAGUAACCUGCCCCAGACUUUGGGAUAACCCUCGGAAACGGGGGCUAAUACCGGAUACGACACAGCUUCGCAUGGGGUCUGUGUGGAAAGUUUUUCGGUUUGGGAUGGGCUCGCGGCCUAUCAGCUUGUUGGUGGGGUGAUGGCCUACCAAGGCGACGACGGGUAGCCGGCCUGAGAGGGCGACCGGCCACACUGGGACUGAGACACGGCCCAGACUCCUACGGGAGGCAGCAGUGGGGAAUAUUGCACAAUGGGCGGAAGCCUGAUGCAGCGACGCCGCGUGGGGGAUGACGGCCUUCGGGUUGUAAACCUCUUUCAGCAGGGACGAAGCGUAAGUGACGGUACCUGCAGAAGAAGCGCCGGCCAACUACGU